GACGAACGCUGGCGGCGUGCUUAACACAUGCAAGUCGAACGGAAAGGCACUGCUUUUGCGGGGUGCUCGAGUGGCGAACGGGAGAGUAACAUGUGAGUAACCUGCCCUCGACUUAGGGGUAACUUUAGGAAACUGGGGCUAAUACCGGAUAGGAGCUCCGGGUGCAUGGGGGGGGUGGGAGAGUUGCGGCGGUGGGGGAUGGACUCGGGGCGUAUCAGCUUGUCGGGGGGGGAGUGGGUUGCCAAGGCUUUGACGGGGAGCCGGCCUGAGGGGGUGACCGGCCACAUUGGGACUGAGAUGCGGCCCAGACUCCUACGGGAGGCAGCAGUGGGGAAUAUUGCACUAUGGGCGGAAGCCUGAUGCAGCAACGCCGCGUGGGGGAUGACGGCCUUCGGGUUGUAAACCGCUUUCGCCUGUGACGAAGCGUGAGUGACGGUAAUGGGUAAAGAAGCACCGGCUAACUACGUG
This 468-nucleotide ribosomal RNA is filed under the name uncultured bacterium. Its description in RNAcentral is "partial 16S ribosomal RNA". It matches the Rfam family "Bacterial small subunit ribosomal RNA", at positions 28 to 507 of the family's 1533-position model. The record is from RNAcentral.